GAUGAACGCUGGCGGCGUGCUUAACACAUGCAAGUCGAACGAUGAAGCCCAGCUUGCUGGGUGGAUUAGUGGCGAACGGGUGAGUAACACGUGAGUAACCUGCCCUUAACUCUGGGAUAAGCCUGGGAAACUGGGUCUAAUACCGGAUAGGAGCGCCUACCGCAUGGUGGGUGUUGGAAAGAUUUAUCGGUUUUGGAUGGACUCGCGGCCUAUCAGCUUGUUGGUGAGGUAAUGGCUCACCAAGGCGACGACGGGUAGCCGGCCUGAGAGGGUGACCGGCCACACUGGGACUGAGACACGGCCCAGACUCCUACGGGAGGCAGCAGUGGGGAAUAUUGCAUAAUGGGCGAAAGCCUGAUGCAGCGACGCCGCGUGAGGGAUGACGGCCUUCGGGUUGUAAACCUCUUUCAGUAGGGAAGAAGCGAAAGUGACGGUACCUGCAGAAGAAGCACCGGCUAACUACGUG
Molecule: ribosomal RNA, 466 nt
Filed under: uncultured bacterium
Lineage: Bacteria
Description: partial 16S ribosomal RNA
Rfam family: Bacterial small subunit ribosomal RNA
Source: RNAcentral